RNAcentral lists this ribosomal RNA (429 nucleotides) under Chloroflexota bacterium. Its description in RNAcentral is "Chloroflexi bacterium partial 16S ribosomal RNA". It matches the Rfam family "Bacterial small subunit ribosomal RNA", at positions 355 to 776 of the family's 1533-position model. Lineage: Bacteria; Bacillati; Chloroflexota. The record is from RNAcentral.
UGGGGAAUAUUGCACAAUGGGCGCAAGCCUGAUGCAGCCAUGCCGCGUGUGUGAAGAAGGCCUUCGGGUUGUAAAGCACUUUCAGCGGGGAGGAAGGCGAUAAGGUUAAUAACCUCAUCGAUUGACGUUACCCGCAGAAGAAGCACCGGCUAACUCCGUGCCAGCAGCCGCGGUAAUACGGAGGGUGCAAGCGUUAAUCGGAAUUACUGGGCGUAAAGCGCACGCAGGCGGUCUGUCAAGUCGGAUGUGAAAUCCCCGGGCUCAACCUGGGAACUGCAUUCGAAACUGGCAGGCUAGAGUCUGGUAGAGGGGGGUAGAAUUCCAGGUGUAGCGGUGAAAUGCGUAGAGAUCUGGAGGAAUACCGGUGGCGAAGGCGGCCCCCUGGACAAAGACUGACGCUCAGGUGCGAAAGCGUGGGGAGCAAACAGG